AUUGAACGCUGGCGGCAGGCCUCACACAUGCAAGUCGCACGAGUGGCGGACGUGUGAGUAAUGUCUGGGCAACUGCCUGAUGGAGGGGGAUCACUACUGGAAACGGUCGCUAAUCCCGCAUACCAUCAGAUGUGCCCAGAUGGGAUUAGCUUGUUGGUGGGGUAACGGCUCACCAAGGCGACGAUCCCUAGCUGGUAUGAGAGGAUGACCAGCCACACUGGAACUGAGACACGGGCCAGACUCCUACGGGAGGCAGCAGUGGGGAAUAUGGGACAAUGGGCGAAAGCCUGAUGCAGCCAGGCCGCGUGUAUGAAGAAGGCCUUCGGGUUGUAAAGUACUGUCAGCGGGGAGGCGGUACCCGCAGAAGAAGCACCGGCUAACUCCGUGCCAGCAGCCGCGGUAAUAC
This 406-nucleotide ribosomal RNA is filed under the name uncultured bacterium. RNAcentral's name for it is "partial 16S ribosomal RNA". It matches the Rfam family "Bacterial small subunit ribosomal RNA", at positions 29 to 526 of the family's 1533-position model. The record is from RNAcentral.